This is a long non-coding RNA of Camelina sativa (false flax), 897 nucleotides long. RefSeq lists it as uncharacterized. NCBI's taxonomy places the organism in Eukaryota, Viridiplantae, Streptophyta, Magnoliopsida, Brassicales, Brassicaceae. The record is from RefSeq and is a predicted model, not a curated record.
CUCAUUUUCUUCUUUUCUCUCUCUUGACGAAACGGCGAAUCGAUUUCUUGUUCCGGCUUCAAAAACACAACGAUCUCGUCCUCCGAACCUAUCACCCAAAGAUUCAGCGGUCUUUCGGAGAUUUCAACUCCUUCUUUUGCCAGCGGAUACGGUUGCGCAUCGUCUCUUGGUCAGGAAGUUCACGCUAAUUAAAUGCCUCACAAGUUUAAUCCUGAAGAAGUUGUUCUGUAUCAGUACGAGGCUUGCCCUUUCUGUAACAAGGUUAAAGUUACAAGCUCAAAAAGGCAUGUUGUUCAAGAGUAGAUGGAGCUCUCAUUGUGCAACCCAUCAAUCACAAGUUUGAUCAUUCAAGAGAGAAGGACCAAUCUCUUAUGAAUUUGUGCAAUUUCGUUUAGUAUCUUACUCAAUCUGAAAACUUGAAUUUCUUAUGUGUGUUUGGGAUAGAUCAGAUUCUCAAAGAGUUUGUAGCAUCAACUAGAAUUGGCGAUCUUGGUGAAUGGUGCCUAUAUGAAUCAUAAGUUGCAGGUAGUCAAUGAAUCUCUGAAUGGUGCAAAUUGCCAACAUGUCUCUGUUUAGGUGGUGGGAACAUGUUCAAGAGUGGUCUAGAGCAUAUUAUUGCAGAAUGGUGGUCUUUGGUUGUACAACACAACAAACCUGCAUCUUCGGGAGGGAAGCAUUACUAAGAAGGUAUGAUGAAUGUGGUGAAGGGUAGCCAACAUGAGGCUACUGGUGGAGAGAAGAGUCUGAGGGAUGUGAGCGAAGACUCUUAUCACAUCUUUUACUUUGUUAUUCAUAAUUCCUAAUUCUGUAAUCUGAGAGUUUUAAUAGUUGUUUGGAUCUUAUUGUAUAUGGAUUUGAGCUUGUAUUGAGAGAUAAACGAGUAUUAUUGAGAUCAAA